RNAcentral lists this long non-coding RNA (1575 nucleotides) under Salmo salar (Atlantic salmon). RNAcentral's name for it is "lncRNA (ENSSSAG00000091659.1)". The record is from RNAcentral. Lineage: Eukaryota; Metazoa; Chordata; Actinopteri; Salmoniformes; Salmonidae.
CCCCCGCCCCAUCUACUACGGCCCCGCCCCAUAUAUCACUGACCUGUCAAUCAAACUACUGACUCCACACACAUCUACCACUGACCUGUCAAUCAAACUACUGACUCCACCCCCAUCUACCACUGACCUGUCAUGAUUGAACACAGACUCUGGGACCGGGACAGACCAUAUUAAAAUGAGAGGAGAGACAGAAAGACAGAGAGACUGAAGAGAGACUGGAGAGAGACUGAGGAGAGACUGGAGAGAGACUGAAGAGAGACUGGAGAGAGACUGGAGAGACUAGAGAGAGACUGGAGAGAGACUGGAGAAAGACUGGAGAGAGACUGGAGAGAGACUGGAGAGAGACUGAAGAGAGACUGGAGAGAGACUGGAGAGAGACUGGAGAGAGACUGGAGAGAGACUGAAGAGAGACUGGAGAGAGACUGGAGAGAGACUGGAGAGAGACUGGAGAGAUACUGGAGAGAGACUGAAGAGAGACUGGAGAGAGACUGGAGAGAGACUGGAGAGACUAGAGAGAGACUGGAGAGAGACUGAAGAGAGACUGAAGAGAGACUGGAGAGAGACUGGAGAGAGUCUGGAGAGAGACUGGAGAGAGUCUGGAGAGAGACUGGAGAGAGACUGGAGAGAGACUGGAGAGAGACUGAAGAGAGACUGGAGAGAGACUGGAGAGAGACUGGAGAGAGACUGGAGAGACUAGAGAGAGACUGGAGAGAGACUGAAGAGAGACUGAAGAGAGACUGGAGAGAGACUGGAGAGAGUCUGGAGAGAGACUGGAGAGAGUCUGGAGAGAGACUGGAGAGAGACUGGAGAGAGACUGGAGAGAGACUGAAGAGAGACUGGAGAGAGACUGGAGAGAGACUGGAGAGAGACUGGAGAGAGACUGAAGAGAGACUGGAGAGAGACUGGAGAGAGACUGGAGAGACUAGAGAGAGACUGAAGAGAGACUGGAGAGACUGGAGAGAGACUGGAGAGAGACUGGAGAGAGACUGGAGAGACUAGAGAGAGACUGGAGAGAGACUGAAGAGAGACUGGAGAGAGACUGGAGAGACUAGAGAGAGACUGGAGAGAGACUGGAGAGAGACUGGAGAGAGACUGGAGAGAGACUGAAGAGAGACUGGAGAGAGACUGGAGAGAGACUGGAGAGAGACUGAAGAGAGACUGGAGAGAGACUGGAGAGAGACUGGAGAGACUAGAGAGAGACUGAAGAGAGACUGGAGAGAGACUGGAGAGAGACUGGAGAGAGACUGAAGAGAGACUGGAGAGAGACUGGAGAGAGACUGGAGAGAGACUGGAGAGAGACUGGAGAGAGACAGCAGCUGGAGAGAGACUGGAGAGAGACUGGAGAGAGACUGGAGAGAGACUGGAGAGAGACUGGAGAGACUAGAGAGAGACUGAAGAGAGACUGGAGAGAGACUGGAGAGAGACUGGAGAGAGACUGAAGAGAGACUGGAGAGAGACUGGAGAGACUGGAGAGAGACUGGAGAGAGACUGGAGAGAGACUGGAGAGACUGGAGAGAGACUGGAGAGAGACUGGAGAGAGACUGGAGAGAGACAGCAGCUGGAGAGAGACUGGAG